RNAcentral lists this ribosomal RNA (164 nucleotides) under uncultured bacterium. RNAcentral describes it as "partial 16S ribosomal RNA". It matches the Rfam family "Bacterial small subunit ribosomal RNA", at positions 355 to 511 of the family's 1533-position model. The record is from RNAcentral.
UAGGGAAUCUUCCACAAUGGGCGCAAGCCUGAUGGAGCAACACCGCGUGAGUGAAGAAGGGUUUCGGCUCGUAAAACUCUGUUGUUAAAGAAGAACAUAUCUGAGAGUAACUGUUCAGGUAUUGACGGUAUUUAACCAGAAAGCCACGGCUAACUACGUGCCAG